CGAUGGAGACUAUUUAGCCGCGCCCGCCGCCCCCUCCCACGUGACCACCCGCGCCGGGCAUCCUGGGACUUGUAGUUUCCUGGAGCCGACAGCUCUGGGAAAGCCUGGGGGCCGGCGGGCUUUCGGGACCGCAAUUCCCAGCAGGAAGUUUGCGGUCCAGUGCCGACCAGCAGGACUGGGAACGGUCCAGUGGCGUCGCCGAGGGGUUGGUGCUGGGAGAUGAUCUCCAUCAGUCAACCUCGAGGCCCCGGGUAAUGUAAGUAAAAUCGGGAUGUAGGAGUUCAACAAGCCCAGCUUUCGACUUCACGGUCGCCUCUCAGCACCUCCUGCAUCGAAAUUCCAGGACCCCCUGCACCGCGUUGCAGGAGCCGUGUUAGUCCCCACCAAGGUUCGAGGUGGGAGCCUACCUACCCCCCAGGUUGGGCCCCCUUCCGAUUCCCUAGCGCGGCGGUUUUCAAACUCUAGCGUCCAUCUCCCGGAAGGCUUGAUAAACACAGAUUGACAGACUCGCAGUUUCUUUUUAAGCAGGUCUGGGGCGUGACCUCAGAAUUUGCAAAUCUAGUAAGCUCCCAGGUAAGUCUGAUGCUGAUGGUCUGGGACCACGCUUCAGAACCACUGCUCACCUUCACCUGGGGCCUGGCAUCUAGUGGGUGUCAGGUAUGUGUCAACUGAAUAUACCAGAAAAACAGCCUGUCAACUUGGACACAGAACCUCGAACAGGACAGGUGCCAGAUAUAAAUCGAAGAUGUGCUCACCAAAUAGGUUAAUUGAUGUAGAGUCGGGUACCAGAACUGUAAUGCCUUCCUAUCAAGCUACGCACAGGAAAAUAAACCUAAGACUCUGGCUUACCUAGGCAGUCCCACUUGGUUGGCUUUCUGGAAGCAAAGGGAUAGACUAAAAUUUAGGGAUUCUUAACCUUUUUUUUUUUUUUUUAUGCCAUGGCAGUCUUGCGAAGCCUAUAGACCCCUUCUAAGAAUAUGCUUUAAGUGCAUGAAAUAAAACAUUUAAGGUUACAAAGGAAAUUGUACUGAAUUGAAAUUGUAUUGAAAUGAAAAGCAACACAUUGGUAGCAUAGUAUUGUUUCUUUACUAACGCAUUAAUUAACAAGGUCUAGCAGCAAGUCUAACUAUUAGAAUUUCAAAAGGUGCUAGCUAAAAGAUAUUUCGAGAUGUCUGAAACAUCAGAAAUGUAAUAUGAAAAUAUCUGUGACUUCUAUUCGUGCAAAGUGACAGGUCCUUCUAAAAUAUUAUUGUGAUGUUGCCAGUGUUCAUAAUGGAGGAAAUGCUAAACUGUGCUUAGAUAUUAGAUGUAGGUAUAAUCUUUUUUCUCAUCCAAUUUUAGGAAUCUUCUCCUACCCCCACCCCCGACCCUGCAAUUUAUCCAUGGACCAAAGAUCUGCAGACCCCAGGUUAAGAAUAUCUGGAUUUAAUAAUCUUUCAUGAUUAACGAUAAUAGGUAUUAUUUAUUGAGUGCUUACUUUUUGCCUGUUGUAAGACUUCUCGCAAUAUUAUUAAUCUUCAUAGCCAUUCUAUGAUGUAGUUAUUAUUCUGUUUAGCAGAUGUAGAAAUGGAGGCUUUCAAAGGUUAUAUAAUUUGCCUAAAAAAAAUCAGAUUCUUAACUCCCAGAAAUCUAACUAUGUUUUUGGUCUUCUAGUCCUGAUUUAAAUGAAUAAUAUGUUUAUUAUCCAAACUAAGGUAUAAAGUUUUAGAGCUGGUUAUGAAACAGAGAAUCAAAAUUUUUUGAUUACAGCUACAACGGUUUUUGUUUUUUGGUCUUAUACUUUUAUAAGCACAUUUUAAUUUUUAAUAUCUUUCUAGAUGAAGUAUAGAAUAAACAAAAUUCAUCUGUUUCUGUUUUCUUUCUUCCUAGAUGUCCAAAACCAUUUUAUAUUACAUUGUUUCUUAGAAGGAGCCAAAGAAACAGAAGUUUUUUUUAAAAAUCCAGAAACCUUAGGGUUUUCAUGGUCAUUAUCCCUGUCAGGAGAACUCAUCCUUUCUUAGACCUGUUAUUUACAUCAGAAACCCCCAGGAGCUCAUACAUCUUCAAUCAAAGCCAAUUAUGAAUACAAGUCAGAUGCAAUUGUGAUUAUUAUCUUAAAAACUCUCCUGGCUCUCUGGUCAUUCAUAGACUUCGUUAGACUUGCACUGUCCAAUACGAGAAACUACUAGCCACAAUGUGGCCAUUGAGUGCUUACAGUGUUUCUGGUCCUCAUUGCUAUAUUCUCCAAGUUUAAAGAACACACUGACCUUUCAAAGAUUUAAGUUGUCUCAAUUUCACCUCUUUCUUUUUACUUUUUAAAAUGUUGCUCCUAGACUAUUUCGUGGCCCUCGUACUAUUUUUAUUAGCACUGGCUUAAAAGUGAGAGGAUUUGACCUAUAUAUAAAGUUAUAAAAGGAAUAAAUUAAAGUAUUUAAAACCUAGUAUUUUUAGUUCUAAAUGGUACCAGCCUAGUUUAAGGUGAUGAUUUCCUGCCUUAUUUCAGAAGGAGUUUAGAUCACUUGCAGAGAACAGUAGUAUUGACUAAAGGAAUCAGGGAAGAUUUAUAAAAAAAAAAAAGUAGAAUAGUUGAAAAAUAAAAGCCCCCAGAGCUAGAGAUAGACCCCAAAUCUGGCUCUUACUUUCUCAAUGGUUAUGACAAAGAAAAAGUCUACUAGAAAAUCCCUCUGUCUACGGGAUGAGAACAUACCAGUUGCGCAGGAGGAAUGACUUUGCCUGGCCCUGAACCACAGGAGAUGAUUUUCUUGGGCCCUCAUAAAGGGGACACUGUGAUGUAUUGGACAGCAUCCUAGCAGCCUGCCUACCAUGAGGACAAUGGUGGGUUUUAUGCAACUGUUUCUUAUAUCUGCAAGUCAUGAAGACAUGCUUUCAGAUUUGGUCCUCAGCCAUCCAUAGGUUGCCUGUCGUGGCGGGCAUGUGAUAAUGUCCCACUCAGAUUUCCUGCUUCAGUGAGCGUAAUUGACCAACAGCCCCAGCUGCUGUACUCUGAAUUCAGCAUUGGUGAUGCCACACUUCCCAUUGGCUGCUCUCAGCCAAUAACUGAGUGCAGCCAAGAUCCUAAUGUAGCCCUGUGAUGGGCGGCUCUCCUCAAGAACUCUCCAUUGGCCUGGCUGAACUUUCUUAGACUUAUGCUGUAGAUAAGACUCUUCUUAUUCAGCCCUUCUUUCUCCUUCACAGGGUCACCUCCUCUGGCUCCUUCCUCUUUCCUCACAGGUGUUUUCCCCAAUUAAUGUCUUGUACAUCUAAUCCCAUUUGAAUGUCUGCUUCUCAAAGGACCCAAAUUGAUGCUCCUUAUUCCAUAGUGGUUGAUGAGGGGACAAUAAGUAGGAGGAAAGUUCUAGGCUUUUUCUCCAAACCCUAAAAUCUAGUGAGCUGUGCUAGAUGCAUGAGGCUAAUGGAAAUUUUGCCUCAAGGCUUAAGGCCUUCAAUAUAAAAGUGCAGGCAGCUUUUUCUUCUCCUGGGCGUGCACUCUAAAAUAAGCCCUUUGCAACUUGCAUAUAUGAUGGUAAGAAUACUUUCCAGGUGAAAUACCUCUAAAUUUAAAACGAUAGGUCCAAUUUUUUUUAUUUUAUUUUGAAAAAGUGCAGUAAAUACUAUGUUUCUAGACCCUUUGGACAUCCUGAUGUUCAGGUCAGUUAGAAAAAGUCUGUAAAAAUCUCAGCUUAUAUCAUGAGUACUUGAUUAUUAUAAUACCAAUGUGUGAUACAAAUAAAAUGUUUGAAACAUUACAUAUAUGAUAAGGACUUAAUUCCUUUAUCAUUGAGCAUAGUAGAGUUUGGUUACAGCAGAACUUAUUAUUAAGAAUAUUUACAUACGUCAAAAGUAAAAUCAUGUCCCCAGAAACCUACUUAAUUACAGUGGCAACUUGAAUGAUAGGUCACUAAUGUAACUGGUUAUAAAAGGUUACACUGUCUUUAGAGAGCAGAGAAUAGUCACUGGCUGAAGAUGAUUAACUCAGCAUCUUCAUUAUCAAAAAGUCCCUAACAAUAUCAGAAAAGAUACAUUUUUUGGAAGAAUAAAUUCAGCCUCGGACAAAAAGAUGUGCCAUCAGUGGAUCAGGUAUUUCCUUCCUCCUGAAGGAAAGGACAGAUGUAAACUAAUUGAUAGAGGAAACUGCAGGCUUAAACACUGGCUCCACUGGAUUCCUGAGGAUCAUGGGACAUCUUCAAAAUUCUGAUAUUUGAACCUGAAAUUCUAUAUGUAGACAAAACAAGGUGCAAGAUUUUUAAUCUGAAAUUUUAUAUUUAUGCAAAAUAGUAUGCAAGAUGGAAGGCAGAAUACAAGCAUUUACAAAACAUUCACGGACUCCGAAAGUUUACUCUCACAGUAUUGAUGACAUACUCCAGAAAUAUUAAAAACCCGAGGAGAAAGAUGUAAGAUGAAAGACAGGCAUGAAGAAAUCAGUAAAAAUUGCGAUUAUGUCUAAAUUAUAUUGAUAUGUAAUGAGGGUGAAAAAUUCUAUGGGUAAUUCCUAGAAGAAUAGAAAUUCCAUGCAUGUUUCAACCCAACUAAAGGGAAGAGGGAUAAAAGAGUAACAAGAAAUCAUAUAGUAAUUUAAAAACAUUAAAUCAUAAUAAAGAAGUAAAAAGUACAUAAUUCAGUAA
Molecule: long non-coding RNA, 4601 nt
Organism: Pteropus alecto (black flying fox)
Lineage: Eukaryota; Metazoa; Chordata; Mammalia; Chiroptera; Pteropodidae
Exons: 2
Source: RefSeq, a predicted model, not a curated record